AGUAGCUGGGACUACAGGUGCGCACCACCACACCCAGGUGUCACUCUGGAAGUGUCACUCUGGAAGUGUCAAUUUGAAAUGACCACACACCGAAUUGUGAAGGUUAUUGAGGACACCCAUCUCAUGAAUGAGAAAGCUCAGGAAGUCUGAGCAGAUGACUCUGGAAGCAAGAAGGAGGAAAGAUAAACUUCUCUUCCUUCCAUGCUGAUUCUCCCCAUUAUUUCAACGUACACUACAAAAACCACAGAUGAGCAUCAUUUGUUUAACUACAAGAAGAAAAAUAUUCAAGGUCCAAAGAUCUUAUAAAGGAAGCUAUCCUUGCUAAUGACUUUAUGAAGAACUUAGAGCUGUCACAGAUCCAGGAGAUUGCGCAUUGUAUGUACCCGGUGGGAGUAUGGCAAAGACAGUUGCAUCAUCAAAGAAGGAGAUGUGGGGUCACUGGUGUAUGUCAUGGAAGGUUUCUCCUAGCAAUUCUGUUGUUUCAUGAUCCACUUGAAGAAAUGAAGAUAUGUGGAAAAACAGUAAUUGCCCGAGAUUGCCUUCCAUUUUAUAAAUGCUCCAUUUAUGCUGAAACAAUCUGAAUAGACACGAUGCUUUUUUGUGCAUCUGGUUGGAGGACAGCAACUCCCAAAACUUUUCUAUUCAGCUGCUGGGUUCACAACUUGCUGUUGAGCUAUAAACCCACAUCAGGAAGCCCAGGUACAAACUGAGGGUUGGCUUCUCCCUGGUAAUCUAACCAGAUGCUUACUGAGCCUGAGAUGCUACUUUCAUACCACCUUCUGCCGACUGCUGCUUUGGCAAAAUAAAGAUUGUCCACCAAUCUACCAACACCAUCUCACUUUAA
This is a long non-coding RNA of Rhinopithecus roxellana (golden snub-nosed monkey), 844 nucleotides long. RefSeq lists it as uncharacterized. NCBI's taxonomy places the organism in Eukaryota, Metazoa, Chordata, Mammalia, Primates, Cercopithecidae. The record is from RefSeq and is a predicted model, not a curated record. The transcript has 4 exons.